Molecule: unclassified non-coding RNA, 391 nt
Filed under: soil metagenome
Description: partial contains 5.8S ribosomal RNA, internal transcribed spacer 2, and large subunit ribosomal RNA
Rfam family: 5.8S ribosomal RNA (bases 1-122)
Source: RNAcentral
GAUGAAGAACGUAGCGAAAUGCGAUACUUGGUGUGAACUGCAGAAUCCCGUGAACCAUCGAGUCUUUGAACGCAAGUUGCGCCCGAAGCCAUUAGGCCGAGGGCACGCCUGCCUGGGCGUCACACGUCGUUGCCCCCCCAUCUACUCCUUCGGGAUUGCGGGGGGCGGAUGAUGGCCUCCCGUGCGCCUCGUCGCGCGGUUGGCAUAAAUGCCAAGUCCUCGGCGACGCACGCCACGACAAUCGGUGGUUGCGAAACCUCGGUUGCCCGUCGUGUGCGGUCGUCGCGCAUCGAGGGCUCGAAAAAAUUGCCGGGCUCCGGCUCGGCUUUCAACGCGACCCCAGGUCAGGCGGGGUUACCCGCUGAAUUUAAGCAUAUCAAUAAGCGGAGGA